GGCGAGUUACCCAAGCGGCCAAAGGGAUCUGACUGUAAAUCAGACGGCGUAGCCUUCGUGAGUUCGAACCUCGCACUCGCCACGA
Molecule: transfer RNA, 85 nt
Filed under: Cryobacterium levicorallinum
Lineage: Bacteria; Bacillati; Actinomycetota; Actinomycetes; Micrococcales; Microbacteriaceae
Also listed under: 3 other names
Description: tRNA-Tyr
Rfam family: tRNA
About the family: Transfer RNA (tRNA) molecules are approximately 80 nucleotides in length. Their secondary structure includes four short double-helical elements and three loops (D, anti-codon, and T loops).
Source: RNAcentral